Molecule: long non-coding RNA, 3248 nt
Organism: Oreochromis aureus
Lineage: Eukaryota; Metazoa; Chordata; Actinopteri; Cichliformes; Cichlidae
Source: Ensembl
GUGAUCCUUUUUGGAAGUUUUCUUAUUUUUUAUUCUCAUUUCUACUAUUCGCUGCCCGGUGUUGUCGAUUACUCCUCGACCUUAAUAAAAGUUGCACUUACAGCCCCGAUGGGAAAGAGGGAGCGUGAAGACACCCAGAUGUCCAAGAAGAUGCCAACUUCCCCAUUUGACUACAGUAGUUCAGAUGAUGCUUCCAAUCAGGUUCCAUCAAAUAGCCAGGACUAUUUCAGCAACAGACCUUCAGAGACAACAAGUAACCCUUACAGGCUGUACCCCAACAGACCUCAACAGACAACAAGUAACCCUGACAGGCUGUACCCCAACAGACCUCAACAGACAACAAGUAACCCUUACAGGCUGUACCCCAACAGACCUCAACAGACAACAAGUAACCCUUACAGGCUGUACCCCAACAGACCUCAACAGACAACAAGUAACCCUGACAGGCUGUAUCCCAACAGACCUCCACAGACAACAAGUAACGAGUACAGCCAGUUCAACAAUCAGCAGGUCCAGAGCAGCAGUGCCUCCACAGAUGAUCCGAAUCAUGUCCGGCUCAUAAACCACCUUCAGUUCAACAGCAGACCCCAACAAACAACAAGUAAUGAUUACAGACAGUAUCACACAGUCCACACAGACUUGGCCGCCUCCACAGACCUAGUGCGCAAUCUCCAACUGUCCAGAAUGUGUGGCUGUGUGGCUUGCCACAUCUUCUACUGUAACACUGUAGUGAGGCACAAUGCUCUUAGAGGCCGGGAAGGCGGUGUCAUAACAUUAGAGAUGGGCAUACAGAAUAGAGGCAAUAGGCGGAACAAUGGCUUUAGAUACUUCAUCAGCAGAAGUGUUAUUCAUUAUCUAAUGGUGAUCCAUAUAAUUAUUUUUAAUAUUCUGCUUUUAGUAAUGUCACUCUUGUUUCAUGGCAGGAUAUAAAUUACUCUCUGAACAAACUGCCACCAGCAUUAGAUAAAAAUGUGGAAAAUUUUUUGAUUUCCUGGAGAUGCCAGUUAACUUUUUAAAAACAAAUGCAGUGGAACAAAUAACUCUAAUAGGGACUAAUUGAGAAAACUGGUGACAUCUGGCAAGGUGUAAAAAUCCUGGAGGAGCAUACUGUUCAGAUGUCCACUGUGGCAGGUAGCUCAGUACGGGCAGGUGGAGGUGUGCUGCUGGUGGUCCUGUGGUCUGACUAUGGCUACAGCAUGCAGUCAACAAGGUUGUGACCACUGGAGCAAAGAUUUGAGUGAAUUUAAUAUAAUGAACUUCUUCAUUUUACUUGGGAUAUUUACUUAUGUGCAACUUUGUUUUGCCAUAUUCUGUUUUCUUGAACUGGUCAUUUGAAAGAUUUCCCAUUUAAAGCAAAUCUGCACUGGCUGUUUCUUUAAUAUAUACUCAGUGGGUUAAUGCAGACUUUUUCCUGCUCCUGUGUCUUAAUGAACAACAAACUGGCACUUUCUGUAAUCACUCUGUGCAAGUCUUACCUUAAACUCCACCAGGGGGCAGCAUUUCACCAGUGCUAAAUAUUUUUUCUUAACCUUUGAGUUUUAUUUUCAGCCCUACUUCCAUGUCCUAGAAAGGCUUCAGCUUUUGACCGUAAUUAAGAAGGUGCUCCUAAUGACAGGUCUGGUUGACUCACUGCACCAUCUUGUGGCACAAAUUGGUUAAUACAUGAAAGCGGAGCACAGGUACACCGAUAUUUUGGGCAUAAAGUUCUGGCCGUUCUUAAGAGCUUCAGUUCAUUUUGGAAGUAAUUUACAAAACCUUUAAGUGAAAAAAGAAAAGCACAAGCACACAGCUGCACUAUUGUGUGUUACCAACUAGUUUAAACGGUUUUAAAACAUGUAAAUGCUAAUGGGCUUUAAACAUGUUCACACUGAGAGUUAAUAACAGUCCACCACUGCAUGCAUCUAUGGCAUUUCUAAACAAACCCAAGUUUAAUGUCUGUCUCUGUGUCUACACACACACACACACACACACACACACACACACACACACACACACACACACAACUGUGUAUUUAUGUUGUGGUAUUGAGUAACAGGGCAAGAGGCGGAUGUGAUCCACCUGCAGCUGCUGUGCACAGCGAGCGGUUUGGAGAUUCAGGUAAACCAGUGGUUGGAGAGAGGUGGAAAACUGGAAGAAUCUGGAACUGGUUCUACAAAUAUUCACACAAAAGAUCAAACUCUGUAGUAGAGUUUUGCACUUGGGGAUUUCCUUGUUCGGCCAAGAAGAAGACUGCCAUGUUUGUGGUCUGCAACGGGAUUACAUUCAAGACAUCACUCAUGAUUUUGUCUACUCUUUUUGGACAUGAAUGGACCUCCCUUACUAAAUGCACAUGAUGCACUUUGAGUAAUAUGAUAUAGGUGCUUCUCUGUGUUAUUUAUCUAUGACCUGAGUAAUGCAGUAAUAUUCCCUGAUCAGUUUAAAGUACAAUAAAAUGGUCUCACGUUUAAGCUCUCUGUUUGAUUUGGUUUUACUUUGCACAUGAUACAAAUCACACAGAAAGUAAGUGAACACAAAACAAACGUGUGCCGAAUCAACUAAAUGACACAAUCUGAAAGAAAAAAAAGAUAAAAAACCUAUAAAGCAAAAUUAAACACUGACCAGUUUUAAGGCUUUUUAUUUUCUGUACAUACAACAUUUUACAAAAGCACGAAAUCCAGAUUUUUAAUCACGACUUAAAAACAUAAAGAGGAUAAAAAAUGACAUGCAUCAUCUGUACGUUGCUGUAUUUGACACUCUUCUCCAUGCAGUUAAUUAAAACGUUAAAAUAAAUACACUAUUUUCUAUUUUAUCAGCAUUAACAAAAUGAAUCAAUUAACAGUAAAUUUGCACGAUGGAGUUGAGCAGUCGAUUAAUGUUUGACUUUCUGUCACACUUCAUCGAGGUAAUGGCCAUUGAUUGGUGGAGAAACAUCAGCGCUGCCAUGAAUUAUAAAAACAAUCUAAUACAUAACAGAAGAACAGAACAGGGAUGUAAAAUGCAUAAGAAUUUACUUUUCUCUUUGCUUUUUCUGAGUAAUAAAAAUAUAUCUCUACCAUUUACUGUUUAGGAAGCAUCUAAAUAAGAAGAGAAGCAGUUAUUAAGAUAACAGGAUUUGAUCUUUAUCUAAUGCAGAUCACGUGACUUUUUUAAGACUACAGAGGAAAAUUAAAGAGAAGCGAGUCUAGUAUCGUUUAGUGCUUUUUAAAGCAUGUUUCAGUUUCUUAUGUAAAUAUGUAGUUUCAUUGAUUGAUCACAUCCUGUGUUUAUCA